RNAcentral lists this ribosomal RNA (546 nucleotides) under Colletotrichum gloeosporioides. RNAcentral's name for it is "eukaryotic LSU rRNA". The stretch from base 178 to 331 matches the Rfam family "5.8S ribosomal RNA". Lineage: Eukaryota; Fungi; Ascomycota; Sordariomycetes; Glomerellales; Glomerellaceae. The record is from RNAcentral.
CAUUACUGAGUUUACGCUCUAUAACCCUUUGUGAACAUACCUAUAACUGUUGCUUCGGCGGGUAGGGUCUCCGCGACCCUCCCGGCCUCCCGCCCCCGGGCGGGUCGGCGCCCGCCGGAGGAUAACCAAACUCUGAUUUAACGACGUUUCUUCUGAGUGGUACAAGCAAAUAAUCAAAACUUUUAACAACGGAUCUCUUGGUUCUGGCAUCGAUGAAGAACGCAGCGAAAUGCGAUAAGUAAUGUGAAUUGCAGAAUUCAGUGAAUCAUCGAAUCUUUGAACGCACAUUGCGCCCGCCAGCAUUCUGGCGGGCAUGCCUGUUCGAGCGUCAUUUCAACCCUCAAGCUCUGCUUGGUGUUGGGGCCCUACAGCUGAUGUAGGCCCUCAAAGGUAGUGGCGGACCCUCCCGGAGCCUCCUUUGCGUAGUAACUUUACGUCUCGCACUGGGAUCCGGAGGGACUCUUGCCGUAAAACCCCCAAUUUUCCAAAGGUUGACCUCGGAUCAGGUAGGAAUACCCGCUGAACUUAAGCAUAUCAAUAAGCGGA